This 253-nucleotide ribosomal RNA is filed under the name uncultured bacterium. RNAcentral's name for it is "partial 16S ribosomal RNA". It matches the Rfam family "Bacterial small subunit ribosomal RNA", at positions 335 to 583 of the family's 1533-position model. The record is from RNAcentral.
CGUGCCUACGGGACGCAGCAGUGAGGAAUAUUGGUCAAUGGGCGGAAGCCUGAACCAGCCAAGUCGCGUGAGGGAAUAAGGCCCUACGGGUCGUAAACCUCUUUUGCCGGGGAGCAAGGGCGGGGACGUGUCCCGGCCCGGAGAGUACCCGCAGAAUAAGCAUCGGCUAACUCCGUGCCAGCAGCCGCGGUAAUACGGAGGAUGCGAGCGUUAUCCGGAUUUAUUGGGUUUAAAAGGUGCGUAGGCGGAUUUU